AACACCUCCCCUUCUACUGCAUUGGUGUACUAAGAUUCGUCAUGGAAAGUGGUAACAAGGGUUGUUAGGUUCUCUUGAUAUCCUGGUUACUUUGGAGCUUACACCUUAGUGAGAGGCAUGAUAGUCUCAAAGCAUUUUUUAUAUGUUUCUUUUGGUUUGGCAUCAGCUCUGCAGUUUUAACAUUUCAGUUCUUGCCUAUCAAACGUUGUCG
Long non-coding RNA from Papaver somniferum (opium poppy), 211 nucleotides. RefSeq lists it as uncharacterized. NCBI's taxonomy places the organism in Eukaryota, Viridiplantae, Streptophyta, Magnoliopsida, Ranunculales, Papaveraceae. The record is from RefSeq and is a predicted model, not a curated record. The transcript has 3 exons.